RNAcentral lists this unclassified non-coding RNA (215 nucleotides) under uncultured bacterium. RNAcentral describes it as "partial 16S-23S ribosomal RNA intergenic spacer". The record is from RNAcentral.
GGCUUAUUCUCCUCAGCGCAGGAUGGAAAACUCAAGAUGGAAGUUUGGUAGUUCAAGGCGAUCGUACCUUGAAAACUGCACAGCGUGAUUUAAGGGUUAAAACACAAUUUCGCCUGCACCGCAAGGUGUGAGGGGGAUUGCGACACGAACGUGAAGCGCAGCUGAGCGUUCGUGAUGACUCUUAGGAUGUCUCAAAAAAUGGAAGACCAAAAGAA